UACGAAGGGUGCAAGCGUUAGUCGGAAUUACUGGGCGUAAAGCGUGCGUAGGUGGUUUCUUAAGUCCGUUGUGAAAGCCCUGGGCUCAACCUGGGAACUGCAGUGGAUACUGAGAGGCUAGAGUGUGUCAGAGGAUGGUGGAAUUCCCGGUGUAGCGGUGAAAUGCGUAGAGAUCGGGAGGAACAUCAGUGGCGAAGGCGGCCAUCUGGGACAACACUGACGCUGAGGCACGAAAGCGUGGGGAGCAAACAGGGA
This 255-nucleotide ribosomal RNA is filed under the name uncultured bacterium. Its description in RNAcentral is "partial 16S ribosomal RNA". It matches the Rfam family "Bacterial small subunit ribosomal RNA", at positions 524 to 778 of the family's 1533-position model. The record is from RNAcentral.